GCGAACGUUAGCGGCGCGCCUAACACAUGCAAGUCGCACGGAGUAGCAAUACUCAGUGGCGCACGGGUGCGUAACACGUAGAUAAUCUGCCCUUCAGCGGGGGAUAACGUUCCGAAAGGAGCGCUAAUACCGCAUACAGCGUUUGGUGGUUCGCCAUUAGACGGCAAAGGCUGGGAUCUUCGGACCAGUCACUGAAGGAGGAGUCUGCGGCCCAUCAGCUAGUUGGUGAGGUAAUGGCUCACCAAGGCAAAGACGGGUAGCUGGUCUGAGAGGAUGAUCAGCCACACUGGUACUGGAACACGGACCAGACUCCUACGGGAGGCAGCAGUGGGGAAUCUUGGUCAAUGGGCGCAAGCCUGAACCAGCGACGCCGCGUGAGUGAUGAAGGCCUUCGGGUUGUAAAGCUCUGUGGGGAGAGACGAAAGAAUCGGUUCUAACAGGACCGAAGUUGACGGUAUCUCCUUAGCAAGCACCGGCUAACUCUGUGCCAGCAGCCGCGGUAA
RNAcentral lists this ribosomal RNA (503 nucleotides) under uncultured delta proteobacterium. RNAcentral describes it as "bacterial SSU rRNA". It matches the Rfam family "Bacterial small subunit ribosomal RNA", at positions 29 to 523 of the family's 1533-position model. Lineage: Bacteria; Deltaproteobacteria. The record is from RNAcentral.